Non-coding RNA from Benincasa hispida (wax gourd), 1533 nucleotides. NCBI's taxonomy places the organism in Eukaryota, Viridiplantae, Streptophyta, Magnoliopsida, Cucurbitales, Cucurbitaceae. The record is from RefSeq and is a predicted model, not a curated record.
CAUAGAUAUCAAUCUCCUUUAUUUUCUUGUUUUUUCUCCUAAUAAUAAAACCAUCUCUAGAAACUUAUUAAUUUUCUAUCUCCUAACAUUUCAUCCCUUUGUAGUUCUAUCGAUUUAUCAUUGUUCUUCCAAAUAUUUUUAUCAACUUGAAGAAAAAAUUGUAUAUAAAAAUUACAAAUCUACUUUUGUGUAUAUCAAUUAUGAUUAAAACCUCACUACAAAAUAAAUAAGAUUUCUGUCCAAACCCAUCUUAUCGAAGCCUACAAAAACGUCGGUAUAGCAUCUCUAAUGGCGUCGACAGUUAGGGGUUGGGAUAGAGGACCUAUUCCGACGCCAAGAUAAGGACAUGGGGAUAUUAGGUUUUUGCUGACAUCGUGGUGGCGUCGGGAAAGACCUAAUUAUUAAACCCUAAAAAACGCCUUCUCCUUCAUUUUUUUUUCCAGCAGCGAUCGACCCCCUUGCAAUUCUUCAUCGCGAACAGUCCCCUCAGAUUCUCUCUUCAGUCGCUUUCACUCAUUCGUCGCCAGUCGCCGCCGGUCGUCCCUCGCUCUCUUUCGUUUCCAAUCAUCGUCAGUCACCCAUUCUCACGUCGUUCUACAAUUAGGCCAACACGUGGAUACUUCCAUAACAUUGAGUUUGACAAUCAUGUUCGAUUGCAUGGAAGAAUUCGUAUUGAAAUUACUCUGGAGUUGAAGAACCCCGUUGGUCCUUAGGUAACGAGAUUCAACAAUGCUAUUGGUACUGUUGUGAGAGAAGAUUUUCCAGUACGUUGCGCCACAUGGAAGAAUGUACAAAGAAAAGUGAUAGAGCUUGUUAAAAGCCAACUUCAAAGUAUAAGGCAGAGUUGCAUAAACACUAUGCCCACCUAAUUGGCUUAAAAAUGCACUUUACGGUUGGAUGUCGUAUGCACGAGGUUUGAAAGCUCUGCUUUUAAGAAAACUUCGAAAACAAACCAGAGGAGUCGAGAGGAGCUUGAUUUUAAUCAUAAAACUAGAUCAAAGACGUUCAUCAAUGUGCAACAAGAUUUGGACAAAAUGUUAUAGUUGCAACCGAUGCUAACUUCAUAAGGAACCCAACCACUUUCAUGAGAAGAAAUAUGUGAGACUGUAUUGUGAAGACGACCGAGCCAUGUUAAAGGUAAAGGUUGGGGCCAAAGCCGAAACCUAGAAGGGAUAGUAGCUCGUCAGGAAGUUCAUUCUACGCACAAAAAGAGCAAGAGCAAGCAGCUGAGAUAAGGUUGUUAAAAGAACGAGUUGGACAACAAGAUUCGAAAAUUGAAGAAUACCAAACAGAGGUAGCAGGCUUCAAAGAUUUGAUAAGAAAUUCAUGAACUCACAGGGGGAACGUCAAAAUAGGAUCAAUGUUAUGUCCACAACUUCGCAAUCGACCAAGAUUGAAAUGUUCCCAUGUCAAUGUUAUGUCUGUUAAACUUAAGCUUUUUGUUUUAAAUCAUGACUCAUGCUUUUGUUAUUUUUAGUUCAUAUAUGUCUAUUUUCGAACCAUAUAAGUUAUAAGGAUAUUUAUGACUAUUUA